AGAUAACUCGCUCCGUCCGGAAAUACUUGUAGUGUAAAUGGAUAAAAAUUGAUGUAUCUAAAACUAAAAUACAUUUAGAUACAUCCAUUUCGCUGACAAAUAUUUCCGGACAGAGGGAGUACGUU
This is a non-coding RNA of Triticum aestivum (bread wheat), 125 nucleotides long. The record is from Rfam. Lineage: Eukaryota; Viridiplantae; Streptophyta; Magnoliopsida; Poales; Poaceae.